UUGGAUGUAGCUCAGGGGUAGAGCGCUUGCCUAGCAUGCACGAGGCCCUGGGUUUGAACCCCAGCAUUGCAA
Molecule: transfer RNA, 72 nt
Filed under: Heterocephalus glaber (naked mole-rat)
Lineage: Eukaryota; Metazoa; Chordata; Mammalia; Rodentia; Bathyergidae
Rfam family: tRNA
About the family: Transfer RNA (tRNA) molecules are approximately 80 nucleotides in length. Their secondary structure includes four short double-helical elements and three loops (D, anti-codon, and T loops). Further hydrogen bonds mediate the characteristic L-shaped molecular structure. tRNAs have two regions of fundamental functional importance: the anti-codon, which is responsible for specific mRNA codon recognition, and the 3' end, to which the tRNAs corresponding amino acid is attached (by aminoacyl-tRNA synthetases). tRNAs cope with the degeneracy of the genetic code in two manners: having more than one tRNA (with a specific anti-codon) for a particular amino acid; and 'wobble' base-pairing, i.e. permitting non-standard base-pairing at the 3rd anti-codon position.
Source: Rfam by way of RNAcentral